This 31-nucleotide non-coding RNA is filed under the name Homo sapiens (human). Lineage: Eukaryota; Metazoa; Chordata; Mammalia; Primates; Hominidae. The record is from RNAcentral.
UACCUAUAGCCCCUGAAUACAUGCUCAGGUA